CCGUGUGGCAAAAAUAGGAUACGGGUAAAGCCGUGCCCAAAAAUAACUGCCCAAAGGCCGGGGCGCCAAGUUCGUCCAGCAGAAAAAGGCCACAAAAACGGGUGGGCUAUAGCCUUGGGGGGUGGGGCUCGCCAACUUUGUCCGCCGGAGUGGGAAUGCCGCGAGACUUUGCGAGGGUCCUUCCUGUGCCAAAAAUGGACAACGGGCAAAGCCGCGCCCAAAAAUAACAGCCUGAAGGCCGGGGCGCCAAGUUCGUCCAGCGGAAAAAGGCCACAAAAACGGGUGGGCUAUAGCCAUGAGGGGUGGGGCUGGCCAACUUUGUCCGCCGGACUUGGAAUGCCGCGAGACUUUGCGAGGGGCCUCCGUGUACCAAAAAUGGGCUGUGGGCAAAGCCGCGCUCAAAAAUAACUACCCGAAUGCCGGGGCGCCAAGUUCGUCCAGCGGAAAAAGGCCACAAAAACGGGUGGGCUAUAGCCUUCGGGGGUGGGGCUGGCCAAGUUCGUCCGCCGGACUCGGAAUGGCGUGAGACUUUGCGAGGCGUCACCGCGUGCCAAAAAUAGGCCACGGGCACAGCCGCGCCCAAAAAUAACCACCCAAAGGCCGGAGCGCCAAGUUCGUCCAGUGGAAAAAGCCCACAAAAACGGGUGGGCUAUAGCCUAGGGGGGUGGGGCUGGCCAAUUUCGUCCGCCGGACUCGGAAUGGCGCGAGACUUUGCGAGGGGCCUCCGUGUGCCAAAAAUAGGCCGCGGUCAAAGCCACGUCCAAAAAUAACCGCACGAAGGCCGGGGCGCCAAGUUCCUCCUGCGGAAAAAGGCAACAAAAACGGGUGGGCUAUAGCCUUGGGGGUGGGGCUGGCCCACUUCGUCCGCCGGACUCGGAAUGCCGCGAGACUUUGCGAGGGCCCUCUGUGUGCCAAAAAUAGGCCGCGGGCAAAGCCGCACCCAAAAAUAACCGCCCGAAGACCGGGGCGCCAAGUUCGUCCAGCGGAAAAAGGCCACAAAAACGGGUGGGCUACAGCCUUGGGGGGUGGGGCAGGCUAACUUCGUCCGCCGGACUCGGGAUGCUGCGAGACUUUGAGAGGGGCCUCUGUGUGCCAAAAAUAGGCUGCGGGCACAGCCGCGCCCAAAAAUAACCAUCCGAAGGCCGGGGCGUCAAAUUCGUCCAGCGGAAAAAGCCCACAAAAACGGGUGGGCUAUAGCCUUGGGGGGUGGGGUUGGCCAACUUCGUCCGCCGGACUCGGAAUGGCGCGAGACUUUGCGAGGCGCCUCCAUGUGCCAAAAAUAGGCCGCGGGCACAGCCGCGCCCAAAAAUAACCACCCGAAGGCCGGGGCGCCAAGUUCGUCCAGCGGAAAAUAGCCACAAAAACGGGUAGGCUAUAGCCUUGGGGGGUGGGGCUGGCCGACUUCGUCCGCCGGACUCGGAAUGGCGCGAGACUUUGCGAGGUGUCUCCGUGUGCCAAAAAUAGGCCGGGGGCAAAGCCGCGUCAUAAAAUAACCGUCCGAAGGCCGGGGCGCCAAGUUCAUCCAGCGGAAAAAGGCCACAAAAACGGGUGGGCUAUAGCCCUGGGGGGUGGGGCUGGCCAACUUCAUCCGCCGGACUCGGAAUGGCGCAUGACUUUGCGAGGCGUCUCCAUGCUCCAAAAAUAGGCCGUGGGUACAGCCGCACCCAAAAAUAACCGCCCGAAGGUCGUGGCGCCUAGUUCGUCCAGCGGAAAAAUGCCACAAAAACGGGUGGGCUAUAGCCUUGGGGGGUGGGGCUGGCCAACUUCGUCCGCCGGACUGGGAAUGGCGUGAGACUUUGCGAGGCACCUCUGUGUACCAAAAAUAGGACGCGGGCACAGCCGCGUCCAAAAAUAACUGCCCGAAGGCCGGGACGCCAAGUUCGUCCAGCGGAAAAAGGCCACAAAAACAGGUGGGCUAUAGCCUUGGGGGGUGGGGCUGGCCAACUUCGUCCGCCGGACUCGGAAUGGCGUGAGACUUUGCAAGGCACCUCCGUGUGCCAAAUAUAGGCCGCGGACACAGCCGCGCCCAAAAAUAACCGCCCGAAGGCCGGGGCGCCAAGUUCGUCCAGCGGCAAAAAGGCCACAAAAACGGGUGGGCUAUAGCCUUGGGGGGUGGGGCUGGCCAACUUCGUCCGCCGGACUCGGAAUGCCGCGAGACUUUGCGAGCGGCCUCCGUGUGCCAAAAAUAAGCCGCGGGCACAGCCGCGCCCAAAAAUAACCGCCCGAAGGCCGGGGCGCCAAGUUCGUCCAUCGGAAAAGGCCACAAAAACGGGUCGGCUAUAGCCUUGGGGGAUGGGGCUGGCCAACUUCGUCCGCCGGACUCGGAAUGGCGUGAGACUUUGCGAGCCGUCUCCAUGUGCCAAAAAUAGGUCGCGGGCAAAGCCGCCCCCAAAAAUAACCACCAGAAGGCCGGGGCACCAAGUUCGUCCCGCGGAAAAAGGCCACAAAAACGGGUGGGCUAUAGCCUUGGGGGGUGGGGCUGGCCAACUUCGUCCGCCGGACUCGGAAUUGCCCGAGACUCUGUGAGGCGCCUCCGUGUGCCAAAAAUAGGCUGCGGACAAAGCCGCUCCCAAAAAUAACCGCCCGAAGGCCGGGGCGCCAAGUUCGUCCAGCGGAAAAAGCCCACAAAAAUGGGUGGGCUAUAGCCUUGGGGGGUGCGGCUGGCAACUUCGUCCGCCGGACUCGGAAUGGAGCGAGACUUUGCGAGUUGCCUCCCGUGUGCCAAAAAUAGGCCGCGGGCACAGCCGCGCCCAAAAAUAACCGCCCGUAGGCCGGGGCGACAAGUUCGUCCAGCGGAAAAAGGCCCCAAAAACGGGUGGGCUAUAGCCUUUGGGGGUGGGGCUGGCCAAGUUCGUCCGCCGGACUCGGAAUGGCGUGAGACUUUGUGAGCCGUCUCCGUGUGCCAAAAAUAGGUCGCGGGAAAAGCCGCCCCCAAAAAUAACCACCCGAAGGUCGGGGCACCAAGUUCGUCCCGCGGAAAAAGGCCACAAAAACGGGUGGGCUAUAGCCUUGGGGGGUGGGGCUGGCCAACUUUGUCCGCCGGACUCGGAAUGGCGCGAGACUUUGUGAGCCACCUCUGUGUACCAAAAAUAGGCCGCGGGCAAAGCCGUACCCAAAACUAAUGGCCCGAAGGCCGGGCGCCAAGUUCGUCCAGCGGAAAAAGGCCACAAAAACGGGUGGGCUAUAGCCUUGGGGGGUGGGACUGGCACACUUCGUCCGCCGGACUCGGAAUGGCGCGAGACUUUGCGAGGCACCUCCGUGUGCGAAAAAUAGGCCGCGGGCAGAGCCGGGCCCUAAAAUAACCGCCCGAAGGCCGGGGCGCCAAGUUCGUCCAGCGGAAAAAGGCCACAAAAACGGGUGGGCUAUAGCCUUGGGGGGUGGGGCUGGCCAACUUCGUCCGCCGGACACGGAAUGGUGCGAGUCUAUGCAAGGUGCCUCCGUGUACCAAAAAUCGUCCACGUGCACAGCCGUGCCCAAAAAUAACCGCCCGAAGGCCGGGGCGCCAAGUUCGUCCAGCGGAAAAAGGCCACAAAAACGGGUGGGCUAUAGCCUUGGGGGGUGGGGUUGGCCAACUUCGUCCGCCGGACUCGGAAUGGCGCGAGACUUUGCGAGGCGCCUCCGUGUGCCAAAAAUAGGCCGCGGGCACAGCCGCGCCCAAAAAUAACCACCCGAAGGCCGGGGCGCCAAGUUCGUCCAGCGGAAAAUAACCACAAAAACGGGUAGGCUAUAGCCUUGGGGGGUGGGGCUGGCCAACUUCGUCCGCCGGACUCGGAAUGGCGCGAGACUUUGCGAGGCGCCUCCGUGUGCCAAAAAUAGGCCGCGGGCACAGCCGCGCCCAAAAAUAACCGCCCGAAGGCCGUGGCGCCAAGUUCGUCCAGCGGAAAAGGGCCACAAAAACGGGUGGGCUAUUGCCUUGGGGGGUGGGGCUGGCGAACUUCGUCCGCCGGACUCGGAAUGGCGCGAGACUUUUGCGAGGCGCCUCCGUGUGCCAAAAAUAGGCCACGGGCACAGCCACGCCCAAAAAUAACCGCCCGAAGGCCGGGGCGCCAAGUUCGUCCAGCGGAAAAAGGCCACAAAAACGGGUGGGCUAUAGCCUUGGGGGUGGGGCUGGCCAACUUUCUCCGCCGGACUCGGAAUGGCGUGAGACUUUGCGAGCCAUCUCCGUGUGCCAAAAAUAGGUCGCGGGUACAGCCGCGCCCAAAAAUAACGGCCCGAAGGCCGGGGCGCCAAAUUCGUCCAGCGGAAAAAGGCCACAAAAACGGGUGGGCUAUUGCCUUGGGGGGUGGGGCUGGCGAACUUCGUCCGCCGGACUCCAAAUGGCGUGAGACUUUGCGAGGCACCUCCGUGUGACAAAAAUAGGCCGCGGGCACUGCCGUGCCCAAAAAUAAGCGCCCGACGGCCGGGGCGCCAAGUUCGUCCAGCAGAAAAAGCCCACAAAAACGGGUGGGCUAUAGCCUUGGGGGGUGGGGCUGGCCCACUUCGUCCGCCAGACUCGGAAUGGUGCGAGACUUUGCGAGGAGCCUCCGUGUGCCAAAAAUAGGCCGCGGGCACAGCCGCGCCCAAAAAUAACCGCCCGAAGGUCGGGGCGCCAAGUUCGUCCAGCGGAAAAAGCCCACCAAAACGGGUGGGCUAUAGCCUUGGGGGGUGGGGCGGGCACACUUCGUCCGCCGGACUCGGAAUGGCGCGAGACUUUGCGAGGCACCUCCGUGUGACAAAAAUAGGCCGCGGGCAGAGAAGGGCCCAAAAAUAACCGCCCGAAGGCCGGGGCGCCAAGUUCGUUCAGCGGAAAAAGGUCACAAAAACGGGUGGGCUAUAGCCUUGGGUGGUGGGCCUGGCCAACUUCGUCCGCCGGACUCGGAAUGGGGCGAGACUUUGCGAGGUGCCUUCGUGUGCCAAAAUUAGGCCGCGGGAAGAUCCGCGCCCAAAAAUAACCGCCUGAAUGGCGGGGCGCCAAGUUCGUCCAUUGGAAAAAGGCCACAAAAACGGGUGGGCUACAACCUUGGGUGGUGGGCCUGGCCAACUUCGUCCGCCGGACUCGGAAUGGCGCGAGACUUUGCGAGGUGCCUUCGUGUGCCAAAAUUAGGCCGCGGGAAGAUCCGCGCCCAAAAAUAACCGCCCGAAGGCCGGGGUGCGAAGUUCGUCCAGCGGAAAAAGGCCACAAAAACAUGUGGGCUAUAGCCUUGGGGGGUGGGGCUGGCCAACUGCGUCCGCUGGACACGGAAUGGCGCGAGACUUUGCGAGCGCCCUCCGUGUGCCGAAAAUAGGCCCCGGGCACAGCCGCGCCAAAAAAUAACCACCCGAAGGCCGGGGCGCCAAGUUCGUGCAGCGGAAAAAGGCCACAAAAACGGGAGGGCUAUAGCCUUGCGGGGUGGCGCUGGCCAACUUCUUCUGCCGGACUCGGAAUGGCGCGAGACUUUGCGAGCGGCCUCCGUGUGCCAAAAAUAGGCCCCGGGCACAGCCACGCCCAAAAAUAACCGCCCGAAGGCCGGGGCGCCAAGUUCGUCCAGCGGAAAAAGGCCACAAAAACGGGUGGGCUAUAGCCUCGGGGGGUGGGGCUGGCCAACUUCUUCCGCCGGACUCGGAAUUUUUGGCUGCGAGACUUUGCGAACGGCCUCCGUGUGCCGAGAAUAGGCCCCGGGCACAGCCGCGCCCAAAAAUAACCGACCGAAGGCCGGGGCGCCAUGUUCGUCCAGCGGAAAAAGGCCACAAAAACGGGUGGGCUACAACCUUGGGGGAUGGGGCUGGCCCACUUCGUCCGCCGGACUCGGAAUGGUGCGAGACUUUGCGAGUGGCCUCCAUGUGCCGAAAAUAGGCCCCAGGCACAGCCGCACCCGAAAAUAACAGCCCGAAGGCUGGGGCGCCAAAUUCGUCCAGCGGAAAAAGGCUACAAAAACAGGUGGGCUAUAGGCUUGGGGGGUAGGGCUGGCCAACUUCAUCCACCGAACUCGGAAUGGUGCGAGACUUUGCGAGCGGCCUCUGUAUGACGAAAAUAGGCCCCGGGCAGAGCUACGCCCACAAAUAACGGGUGGGCUAUAGCCUUGGGGGGUGGGGCUGGCCAACUUCGUCCGCCGGACUCGGAAUGCCGCGAGACUUUGCGAGGGGCCUCCGUGUGCCAAAAAUAGGCCGCGGCCAAAGGCGCGCCCAAAAAUAACCGCCCGAAGGCCGGGGCGCCAAGUUCGUCCGGUGGAAAAAGGCCACAAAAACGGGUGGGCUAUAGCCUUGGGGGGUGGGGCUGGCCAACUUCGUCCGCCGGACUCGGAAUGCCGCGAGACUUUGCGAGGGGCCUCCGUGUGCCAAAAAUAGGCCGCGGCCAAAGGCGCGCCCAAAAAUAACCGCCCGAAGGCCGGGGCGCCAAGUUCGUCCGGCGGAAAAAGGCCACAAAAACGGGUGGGCUAUAGCCUUGGGGGGUGGGGCUGGCCAACUUCGUCCGCCGGACUCAGAAUGCCGCGAGACUUUGCGAAGGGCCUCCUUGUACCAAAAAUAGGCCGCGGGAAAGCCGCGUCCAAAAAUAAAUGCCCGAAGGCCGGGGAGCCAAGUUCGUCCCGCGGAAAAAGGCCACAAAAACGGGUGGGCUAUAGCCUUGGGGGGUGCGGCUGGCCCACUUCGUCCGCCGGACUAGGAAUGCCGCGAGACUUUGCAAGGGGCCUCCGUGUGCCAAAAAUAAGCCACGGGCAAAGCCGCGCCAAAAAGUAACCGCCUGAACGCCGGGGCGCCAAGUUCGUCCAGCGGAAAAAGGCCACAAAAACGGGUGGGCUAUAGCCUUGGGGGGUGGGGCAAGCCGACUUCGUCCGCCGGACUCAGAAUGCCGCGAGACUUUGUAAGGGGCCUCCGUGUGCCAAAAAUAGGCCGUGGGAAAGCCGCGUCCAAAAAUAAACUCCCGAAGGCCGGGGCCCCAAGUUCGUACAGCGGAAAAAGGCCACAAAAACGGGUGGGCUACAGCCUUGGGGGGUGGGGCUGGCCAACUUCGUCCGACGGACUCGGCAUGCCGUGAGACUUUGCGAGGCACCUCCGUGUGCCAAAAAUAGGCCACGGGCAAAGCUGCACCCAAAAAUAACCGCCCGAAGGCCAGGGCUCCAAGUUUGUCCAGCGGAAAAAGGCCACAAAAACGAGUGGGCUAUAGCCUUGGGGGGUGGGGCUGGCCAACUACGUCCGCCGGACUCGGAAUGGCGCGAGACUCUGCGAGGCACCUCCGUGUGCCAAAAAUAGGCCGCGGGCACAGCCGCGCCAAAAAAUAACCGCCCAAAGGCCGGGGCGCCAAGUUCGUCCAGCGGAAAAAGGCCACAAACACGGGUGGGCUACAGCCUUGGGGGGUGGGGCAGGCCAACUUCGUCCGCCGGACUCGGAAUGCCGCGAGACUUUGCGAGGGGUCUCCUUGUGCCACAAAUAGGCCGCGGGCAAACCCGCGCCCAAAAAUAACCGCCCGAAGACCGGGGCCCCAAGUUCGUACAGCGGAAAAAGGCCACAAAAACGGGUGGGCUACAGCCUUGGGGGGUGGGGCUGGCCAACUUCGUUCGACGGACUCGGAAUACCGCGAGAGUUUGCGAGGGGCCUCUGUGUGCCAAAAAUAGGCCACGGGCAAAGCCACGCACGCAAAUAACUGCCCGAAGGGCCGGGGCGCCAAGUUCGUCCAGCGGA
Molecule: long non-coding RNA, 7635 nt
Filed under: Citrus x clementina
Lineage: Eukaryota; Viridiplantae; Streptophyta; Magnoliopsida; Sapindales; Rutaceae
Description: Citrus clementina (C. clementina) long non-coding RNA (CCLE_LNC000661)
Source: RNAcentral